RNAcentral lists this ribosomal RNA (427 nucleotides) under uncultured Gammaproteobacteria bacterium. RNAcentral describes it as "bacterial SSU rRNA". It matches the Rfam family "Bacterial small subunit ribosomal RNA", at positions 958 to 1385 of the family's 1533-position model. Lineage: Bacteria; Pseudomonadati; Pseudomonadota; Gammaproteobacteria. The record is from RNAcentral.
AACGCGAAGAACCUUACCUGGUCUUGACAUCUACGGAGCCCUGCAGAGAUGCGGGGGUGCCUUCGGGAACCGUAAGACAGGUGCUGCAUGGCUGUCGUCAGCUCGUGUCGUGAGAUGUUGGGUUAAGUCCCGCAACGAGCGCAACCCUUGUCCUUAGUUGCCAGCAUUCAGUUGGGAACUCUAAGGAGACCGCCGGUGACAAACCGGAGGAAGGUGGGGAUGACGUCAAGUCAUCAUGGCCUUUAUGACCAGGGCUACACACGUGCUACAAUGGUAGAUACAGAGGGAAGCCAACGCGCGAGCGGGAGCCAAUCCCAGAAAAUCUAUCGUAGUCCGGAUCGGAGUCUGCAACUCGACUCCGUGAAGUCGGAAUCGCUAGUAAUCGCAGAUCAGCAUUGCUGCGGUGAAUACGUUCCCGGGCCUUGUA